ACAUGGGUGGGCCCAAUGCCUCGUACGGCAUAGCUGGGCGGUUGUUUAUUGCACCUCGCCCGAAUGAGUACUGCUGCAACUACUGUUGCUGCUGCUGCUUCUUCUACUUUGCCAGAUUGUUGCCUGCACCUGGCCCCCACCCGCAUCUGUACGCACUGGCUGAUAUCCUUCCUAACCGACCCCGCCUCGUUGGCGGCUUCAUAUACCUCCAAAACCUUAAAAA
Molecule: long non-coding RNA, 223 nt
Filed under: Volvox carteri
Lineage: Eukaryota; Viridiplantae; Chlorophyta; Chlorophyceae; Chlamydomonadales; Volvocaceae
Description: long non-coding RNA (VCAR_LNC000245)
Source: RNAcentral